GUGUCAGCAGCCGCGGUAAGACGUAGGGAGCGAGCGUUGUCCGGAUUCAUUGGGCGUAAAGAGCGCGCAGGCGGUUCGGUAAGUCGGUUGUGAAAUUCCGGGGCUCAACCCCGGGACUGCGUCCGAAACUGCCGGACUAGAGGUAGGUAGGGGAGAUCGGAAUUCCUGGUGUAGCGGUGGAAUGCGCAGAUAUCAGGAGGAACACCGGUGGCGAAGGCGGAUCUCUGGGCCUUACCUGACGCUCAGGCGCGAAAGCUAGGGGAGCGAACAGGAUUAGAAACCCCCGUAGUCC
RNAcentral lists this ribosomal RNA (292 nucleotides) under uncultured bacterium. Its description in RNAcentral is "partial 16S ribosomal RNA". It matches the Rfam family "Bacterial small subunit ribosomal RNA", at positions 505 to 796 of the family's 1533-position model. The record is from RNAcentral.